CUUGAUGAUGCCUACUGGAUGAGAUUCGGCUCAUUGUUAGUGCCUGCCAACAAUAUGGAAGGGUACUGCGAAGUGGAGUGAUUUUUGCAUUAUGGAAACCAGCUGACUCUUUCCAGACCCAUGAUUCAUACCAAGAAACUUGUUCAGCCUGUCUUGGAACCCUCUUUUAGAAACUCUCAGCACAUGAAGACCAUUUGGACAUCCCUAUGAUUUCAUCUCCAACCAAUAAGCAGCACCCAUUUCUUCAUUUCCUGCCCACCAAAUAAUUCUUUAAAGUCCUAGCCUCUGAGCUUUCCAGAGAAAGAUUUGAGAUAAAUAUCCCAUUAGCCUGCUUGGCUGGCCUUGUGUUAAUUAAACUUUCUUUGCUGCAAUACCUGCUGUUCCCAGUGCAUUGGCUUUUUUGGGCAGCAUGCAAGAUUAGCUUGGCCUGUUACAGAGGUUCUUCACAUCACUAACUGUAU
This 461-nucleotide long non-coding RNA is filed under the name Homo sapiens (human). RNAcentral's name for it is "HSALNT0205046". The record is from RNAcentral. Lineage: Eukaryota; Metazoa; Chordata; Mammalia; Primates; Hominidae.